GGCGGACGGGUGAGUAAUGUAUAGUUAAUCUGCCCUUUAGAGGGGGAUAACAGUUGGAAACGACUGCUAAUACCCCAUACUCCUUUUGCCUUAAUGGUAAUUGGGAAACGUUUUUUCGCUAAAGGAUGAGACUAUAUGGUAUCAGGUAGUUGGUGGGGUAAGAGCCUGCCAAGCCAAUGACGCCUAGCUGGUCUGAGAGGAUGAUCAGCCACACUGGAACUGAGACACGGUCCAGACUCCUACGGGAGGCAGCAGUGGGGAAUAUUGCACAAUGGAGGAAACUCUGAUGCAGCAACGCCGCGUGGAGGAUGACGCAUUUCGGUGUGUAAACUCCUUUUAUAUGGGAAGAUAAUGACGGUACCAUAUGAAUAAGCACCGGCUAACU
This 385-nucleotide ribosomal RNA is filed under the name uncultured Campylobacterota bacterium. RNAcentral's name for it is "bacterial SSU rRNA". It matches the Rfam family "Bacterial small subunit ribosomal RNA", at positions 97 to 502 of the family's 1533-position model. Lineage: Bacteria; Pseudomonadati; Campylobacterota. The record is from RNAcentral.